CCUACGGGAGGCAGCAGUGAGGAAUAUUGGUCCAUGGACGAGAGUCUGAACCAGCCAAGUAGCGUGAAGGAUGACUGCCCUAUGGGUUGUAAACUUCUUUUAUAAAGGAAUAAAACGAGGCACGUGUGCCUUUUUGCAUGUACUUUAUGAAUAAGGAUCGGCUAACUCCGUGCCAGCAGCCGCGGUAAUACGGAGGAUCCGAGCGUUAUCCGGAUUUAUUGGGUUUAAAGGGAGCGUAGAUGGGUUGUUAAGUCAGUUGUGAAAGUUUGCGGCUCAACCGUAAAAUUGCAAUUGAUACUGGCAGUCGUGAGUACAGUUGAGGUAGGCGGAAUGCGUGGUGUAGCGGUGAAAUGCUUAGAUAUCACGAAGAACCCCGAUUGCGAAGGCAGCUUACUAAACUGUGACUGACAUUGAUGCUCGAAAGUGUGGGUAUCAAACAGGAUUAGAUACCCCAGUAGUC
RNAcentral lists this ribosomal RNA (460 nucleotides) under uncultured bacterium. Its description in RNAcentral is "partial 16S ribosomal RNA". It matches the Rfam family "Bacterial small subunit ribosomal RNA", at positions 338 to 795 of the family's 1533-position model. The record is from RNAcentral.